GACGAACGCUGGCGGCGUGCUUAACACAUGCAAGUCGAACGGAAAGGCCCUGCUUUUGUGGGGUGCUCGAGUGGCGAACGGGUGAGUAACACGUGAGUAACCUGCCCUUGACUUUGGGAUAACUUCAGGAAACUGGGGCUAAUACCGGAUAGGAGCUCCUGCUGCAUGGUGGGGGUUGGAAAGUUUCGGCGGUUGGGGAUGGACUCGCGGCUUAUCAGCUUGUUGGUGGGGUAGUGGCUGACCAAGGCUUUGACGGGUAGCCGGCCUGAGAGGGUGACCGGCCACAUUGGGACUGAGAUACGGCCCAGACUCCUACGGGAGGCAGCAGUGGGGAAUAUUGCACAAUGGGCGGAAGCCUGAUGCAGCGACGCCGCGUGCGGGAUGACGGCCUUCGGGUUGUAAACCGCUUUCGCCUGUGACGAAGCGUGAGUGACGGUAAUGGGUAAAGAAGCACCGGCUAACUACGUG
This 468-nucleotide ribosomal RNA is filed under the name uncultured bacterium. RNAcentral describes it as "partial 16S ribosomal RNA". It matches the Rfam family "Bacterial small subunit ribosomal RNA", at positions 28 to 507 of the family's 1533-position model. The record is from RNAcentral.